GACGAACGCUGGCGGCGUGCUUAACACAUGCAAGUCGUACGGAAAGGCCCUGGCUUUGGUUGGGGUGCUCGAGUGGCGAACGGGUGAGUAACACGUGGGUGAUCUGCCCUGCACUUUGGGAUAAGCCUGGGAAACUGGGUCUAAUACUGGAUAGGACCAUGCUUUUGUGUGUCAUGGUGGAAAGGCUUCUUUUUGGGGCUGGUGUGGGAUGAGCUUGCGGCCUAUCAGCUUGUUGGUGGGGUAAUGGCCUACCAAGGCGUCGACGGGUAGCCGGCCUGAGAGGGUAUACGGCCACAUUGGGACUGAGAUACGGCCCAGACUCCUGCGGGAGGCAGCAGUAGGGAAUAUUGCACAAUGGGCGCAAGCCUGAUGCAGCGACGCCGCGUGAGGGAUGACGGCCUUCGGGUUGUAAACCUCUUUCGCUGGGGACGAAGCUUUUUUUGGUGACGGUACCUGGAGAAGAAGCACCGGCUAACUACGUG
RNAcentral lists this ribosomal RNA (482 nucleotides) under uncultured bacterium. Its description in RNAcentral is "partial 16S ribosomal RNA". It matches the Rfam family "Bacterial small subunit ribosomal RNA", at positions 28 to 507 of the family's 1533-position model. The record is from RNAcentral.